CAGAGUUCAUGCCCUUCGGGGUAGAUCUCCCACCCUUGUGUAUCAUUACCUUUGUUGCUUUGGCAGGCCGUCAGGCUUCGGCCCGGCUACCGGCUCCGGCUGGUAAGCGCCUGCCAGAGGACCCAAAACUCUGAAUGUUAAUGUCGUCUGAGUACUAUAUAAUAGUUA
This 168-nucleotide unclassified non-coding RNA is filed under the name uncultured Helotiales. Its description in RNAcentral is "sequence contains ITS1". The record is from RNAcentral. Lineage: Eukaryota; Fungi; Ascomycota; Leotiomycetes; Helotiales.